RNAcentral lists this long non-coding RNA (1166 nucleotides) under Heterocephalus glaber (naked mole-rat). RNAcentral's name for it is "lncRNA (ENSHGLG00000042243.1)". The record is from RNAcentral. Lineage: Eukaryota; Metazoa; Chordata; Mammalia; Rodentia; Bathyergidae.
UCUUAAAGCUUUUGAUACAAAAUAAAAAUAUGUUGAAGUUCUAAAAAGAACAUUUCUCUUGGGCUGGGGAUUUAACUCAGUGGUUCUGCUGCCUGCAUUGUAAGCCCAAGGUCCUGAGUUGGAUCCCCAGUACAAAAAAAAAAGAGCAUUUCCCUCAGUAUUUUUGUUUUUAUAAGCUCUUUGUUCUAAAGAGAAAUAAAAUAAUUAAAAUCAAAAUCAUAAGAUAUUUAUAGCAGCCAACGAGUUCAUAUCAAGAUGUUCCAUUUUUAUUACCAAGGAUCUUUUCAAUUAAAACCUUUAGGAGGUGUAACUCAUAAAAUCAGCACCUGUCACAAUACAUGGUCAUUAUCAGUUUGUGAGCUUUGAUCACCAGUAAUUCCCAUUGGGAAAGAGAUGUUGAACUUCAGAGAUCUGAGACUUUCCUCACACUGUCAGUGUGCACCCAGUGUGUACUUGUGUCACGUGUUGUAGAUCUCAAUGUGUGUACUGUCCUUUGGGGACCAUUUAUCUUGUUGAUUCCUAGAAUGAGGACCCUAGUCCAAGAAUCAAGACAUCUGAGUUCUAGUCCUAGUUUUGCCUUCAGGGAGCCACCAGUAUCUCAGUCUAACCCCUCACCCUGAGCACUGGGCAGCCUGAGGGUCCCGGGCAGCCCCAUGAGCCUCUGCAGAGAGACUCACAUCCUGUUGACAGGGCUCUGCACCAAGGAGAGAACCCAUGGGUGUUACUCUUUGUUUAAAUGAUUCUCAAGAGCUGAAAGCUCACUGCAGCAGAACACAGACUACUCUGAAGAUUGCUGAACUGGCCCAGUGCUUUCACUUGAUAGAGGUAAUUACUUUUAUUUCAUAGUCUGUGCACUUAGAAAUUCUUAGCAAUUUUGUUACUUUACUGGGGAAAAAGACAACCCUUCCUCAUGAGGAAUUAAAAGAUGUGUAGAAGUGAUGGCUUGCUUUAAUAACAUGGAGAUGACUGGGUUUGCUGUGACUCACCCUGUUCUCAGGAGGAAAUGAAGGGAAUCGUCAUCUUUGUUCACAGAGCUCUUGGUUGCUGUUGGAACCCUUGUAUGUAACUGUUACUCUCGUUACUUUGCUGUGUCAAUUAGAAAUAUGUAUCCCAUAAAGUAUUUCUCCCAUUGAGUCUACUUAUACUUUGCCUAGAUCUUUCCAAAG